RNAcentral lists this small RNA (365 nucleotides) under Histoplasma ohiense. RNAcentral's name for it is "hypothetical lncRNA". Lineage: Eukaryota; Fungi; Ascomycota; Eurotiomycetes; Onygenales; Ajellomycetaceae. The record is from RNAcentral.
UACAUACUUUGUGAUCGGUUUUCUUUCUUCAGAAGUUAAAUCAAGCAAAUCUCACCAUCCUCAACAAUGGUCCAGAUGGUGAGCCGCGGUGCCCAAGUUACUAUUUACCCACUACUUCCUCUCUCUGGCUCAUUCCCCACAAAUUCAAGUUUUGGCACUGUUCCUCAAAGUUUUCUUCUGGUUACUGGCUAACUUGGUGCCGCCCGCGGAAGGCUAACUGGGAUAAGAUGUUCACAGAAAGACAUGCCGAAUAGGCACCAGAAUGAACUAAAUUUUUGACAGCCCACAUGGGAUGGAAGGAAACGCAACUGUUAGUAGGUGACUUGCAUGCUACACCUACCAACAAGACGAGUUUGUCGGUAUAA